GGUCAUGAGUGCCAGCGCAAAACCCCGGUUUGCUGGCCGGCAACCCUCCUCCGCGGCGGGGUGCCCCGGGUGACGACCAGGUCCCUCUCUACAAGGAGGGGGGCAAGCGCGGAGG
Molecule: regulatory RNA element, 115 nt
Organism: Oerskovia sp. Root918
Lineage: Bacteria; Bacillati; Actinomycetota; Actinomycetes; Micrococcales; Cellulomonadaceae
Rfam family: SAM (S-adenosyl methionine) riboswitch aptamer
About the family: SAM-IV is a mRNA element that regulates gene expression via direct sensing of S-adenosylmethionine (SAM or AdoMet). SAM-IV riboswitches share conserved nucleotide positions with the previously described SAM-I riboswitches sequence analysis and molecular recognition experiments suggest that SAM-I and SAM-IV riboswitches share similar ligand binding sites, but have different scaffolds.
Source: Rfam